Molecule: ribosomal RNA, 492 nt
Filed under: uncultured bacterium
Lineage: Bacteria
Description: partial 16S ribosomal RNA
Rfam family: Bacterial small subunit ribosomal RNA
Source: RNAcentral
GAUGAACGCUGGCGGUAGGCCUAACACAUGCAAGUCGAACGGCAGCACAGUAAUAGCUUGCUGUUACGGGUGGCGAGUCGCGGACGGGUGAGGAAUACAUCGGAACCUACUCUUUCGUGGGGGGUAACGAAGGGAAACUUACGCUAAUACCGCAUACAACCUACCGGUGAAAGCAGUGGAUCUUCGUACCUUGCGCGAUUGAAUGAGCGGAUGUCGGAUUAGCUAGUUGGCGGGGUACAGGCCCACCAAGGCGACGAUCCGUAGCUGAUCUGAGAGAAUGAUAGGCGACACUGGAACAGAGACACCGGCCAGACUGCUACGGGGGGACGCAGUGGGCAAUAUCGGACAACAGGCGUAAGCAUGAUCCAGCCAUACGGCGUGGGUGGAGGAGGCCUUGGCGUUGGAAAGCCGUAUUGCUGGGAGUGAAGAGCUGCAGGUUACGACGAAGCUGUAACGACGGUACCUGAAGAAUAAGCACCGGCUAACUCCGUG